Molecule: ribosomal RNA, 484 nt
Filed under: uncultured bacterium
Lineage: Bacteria
Description: partial 16S ribosomal RNA
Rfam family: Bacterial small subunit ribosomal RNA
Source: RNAcentral
AUUGAACGCUGGCGGCAGGCCUAACACAUGCAAGUCGAGCGGAUGAAGGGAGCUUGCUCCUGGAUUCAGCGGCGGACGCGUGAGUAAUGCCUAGGAAUCUGCCUGGUAGUGGGGGAUAACGUCCGGAAACGGGCGCUAAUACCGCAUACGUCCUGAGGGAGAAAGUGGGGGAUCUUCGGACCUCACGCUAUCAGAUGAGCCUAGGUCGGAUUAGCUAGUUGGUGGGGUAAAGGCCUACCAAGGCGACGAUCCGUAACUGGUCUGAGAGGAUGAUCAGUCACACUGGAACUGAGACACGGUCCAGACUCCUACGGGAGGCAGCAGUGGGGAAUAUUGGACAAUGGGCGAAAGCCUGAUCCAGCCAUGCCGCGUGUGUGAAGAAGGUCUUCGGAUUGUAAAGCACUUUAAGUUGGGAGGAAGGGCAGUAAGUUAAUACCUUGCUGUUUCGACGUUACCAACAGAAUAAGCACCGGCUAACUUCGUG